AACGAACGCUGGCGGCAUGCCUAACACAUGCAAGUCGAACGAGACCUUCGGGUCUAGUGGCGCACGGGUUCGUAACGCGUGGGAACCUGCCCUUAGGUUCGGAAUAACUCCCCGAAAGGGGUGCUAAUACCGGAUAAUGUCUUCGGACCAAAGAUUUAUCGCCUUUGGAUGGGCCCGCGUUGGAUUAGCUAGUUGGUAGGGUAAAAGCCUACCAAGGCGACGAUCCAUAGCUGGUCUGAGAGGAUGAUCAGCCACACUGGGACUGAGACACGGCCCAGACUCCUACGGGAGGCAGCAGUGGGGAAUAUUGGACAAUGGGCGAAAGCCUGAUCCAGCAAUGCCGCGUGAGUGAUGAAGGCCUUAGGGUCGUAAAGCUCUUUUACCCGGGAUGAUAAUGACAGUACCGGGAGAAUAAGCUCCGGCUAACUCCGUG
Molecule: ribosomal RNA, 433 nt
Filed under: uncultured bacterium
Lineage: Bacteria
Description: partial 16S ribosomal RNA
Rfam family: Bacterial small subunit ribosomal RNA
Source: RNAcentral